Molecule: ribosomal RNA, 840 nt
Filed under: uncultured bacterium
Lineage: Bacteria
Description: bacterial SSU rRNA
Rfam family: Bacterial small subunit ribosomal RNA
Source: RNAcentral
GGNGUAAAGGGAGCGCAGGCGGUUUAGUAAGUCUGAAGUUAAAGGCAUUGGCUCAACCAAUGUAUGCUUUGGAAACUGUUAGACUUGAGUGCAGAAGGGGAGAGUGGAAUUCCAUGUGUAGCGGUGAAAUGCGUAGAUAUAUGGAGGAACACCGGUGGCGAAAGCGGCUCUCUGGUCUGUCACUGACGCUGAGGCUCGAAAGCGUGGGUAGCGAACAGGAUUAGAUACCCUGGUAGUCCACGCCGUAAACGCUGAGUGCUAGGUGUUAGGUCCUUUCCGGGACUUAGUGCCGACGCUAACGCAUUAAGCACUCCGCCUGGGGAGUACGACCGCAAGGUUGAAACUCAAAGGAAUUGACGGGGGCCCGCACAAGCGGUGGAGCAUGUGGUUUAAUUCGAAGCAACGCGAAGAACCUUACCAGGUCUUGACAUCCCGAUGCCCGCUCUAGAGAUAGAGUUUUUCUUCGGAACAUCGGAGACAGGUGGUGCAUGGUUGUCGUCAGCUCGUGUCGUGAGAUGUUGGGUUAAGUCCCGCAACGAGCGCAACCCUUAUUGUUAGUUGCCAUCAUUAAGUUGGGCACUCUAGCGAGACUGCCGGUAAUAAACCGGAGGAAGGUGGGGAUGACGUCAAAUCAUCAUGCCCCUUAUGACCUGGGCUACACACGUGCUACAAUGGUUGGUACAACGAGUCGCAAGCCGGUGACGGCAAGCUAAUCUCUGAAAGCCAAUCUCAGUUCGGAUUGUAGGCUGCAACUCGCCUACAUGAAGUCGGAAUCGCUAGUAAUCGCGGAUCAGCACGCCGCGGUGAAUACGUUCCCGGGCCUUGUACACACCGCCCGUC